AAACUUAAAUGAAUUGACGGGGGCCCGCACAAGCAGUGGAGUAUGUGGUUUAAUUCGAAGCAACGCGAAAAACCUUACCAGGUCUUGACAUCCAACGACCGCCUAAGAGAUUAGGCUUUCCUUCGGGACGUUGAGACAGGUGGUGCAUGGUUGUCGUCAGCUCGUGUCGUGAGAUGUUGGGUUAAGUCCCGCAACGAGCGCAACCCUUAUUACUAGUUACUACGCAAGAGGACUCUAGUGAGACUGCCGUUGACAAAACGGAGGAAGGUGGGGAUGACGUCAAAUCAUCAUGCCCUUUAUGACCUGGGCUACACACGUACUACAAUGGCUAUUAACAGAGAGAAGCGAGACCGCAAGGUGGAGCAAACCUCAGAAAAAUAGUCUCAGUUCGGAUUGGGGGCUGCAACCCGCCCCCAUGAAGCCGGAAUUGCUAGUAAUCGCGGAUCAGCAUGCCGCGGUGAAUACGUUCCCGGGCCUUGUACACACCGCCCGUCACACCAUGAGAGCCGGGGGGACCCGAAGUCGGUAGUCUAACCGCAAGGAAGACGCCGCCGAAGGUAAAACUGGUGAUUGGGGUGAAGUCGUAACAAGGUAGCCGUAUCGGAAGGUGCGGCUGGAUCACCUCCUUUAUG
RNAcentral lists this ribosomal RNA (632 nucleotides) under uncultured Anaerofilum sp. Its description in RNAcentral is "bacterial SSU rRNA". It matches the Rfam family "Bacterial small subunit ribosomal RNA", at positions 897 to 1533 of the family's 1533-position model. Lineage: Bacteria; Bacillati; Bacillota; Clostridia; Eubacteriales; Oscillospiraceae. The record is from RNAcentral.